Molecule: ribosomal RNA, 253 nt
Filed under: uncultured bacterium
Lineage: Bacteria
Description: partial 16S ribosomal RNA
Rfam family: Bacterial small subunit ribosomal RNA
Source: RNAcentral
UACGGAGGGUGCAAACGUUGUUCGGAAUCACUGGGCAUAAAGCGUACGUAGGCGGCGUCGUAAGUGUCGGAUGAAAUCCCACGGCUUACCCGUGGAACGGUACGGCAUACUGCGGUGCUAGAGGAUGGUAGAGGAGAGUGGAAUUCCUGGUGUAGCGGUGAAAUGCGCAGAUAUCAGGAAGAACACCUAUGGCGAAGGCAGCUCUCUGGGACGGUACUGACGCUGAGACGCGAAAGCGUGGGGAGCGAACAGG